AACGAUGAAGCCCCUGCUUGCAGGGGUGGAUUAGUGGCGAACGGGUGAGUAACACGUGAGUAACCUGCCCCUGACUGCGGGAUAAGCCCGGGAAACUGGGUCUAAUACCGCAUAUGACACCUGGCCGCAUGGUCUGGGUGUGGAAAGUUUUUCGGUUGGGGAUGGGCUCGCGGCCUAUCAGCUUGUUGGUGGGGUAAUGGCCUACCAAGGCGACGACGGGUAGCCGGCCUGAGAGGGCGACCGGCCACACUGGGACUGAGACACGGCCCAGACUCCUACGGGAGGCAGCAGUGGGGAAUAUUGCACAAUGGGGGAAACCCUGAUGCAGCGACGCCGCGUGAGGGAUGACGGCCUUCGGGUUGUAAACCUCUUUCAGUAGGGAAGAAGCCUUCGGGUGACGGUACCUGCAGAAGAAGUACCGGCUAACUACGUGCCAGCAGCCGCGGUAAUACGUAGGGUACAAGCGUUGUCCGGAAUUAUUGGGCGUAAAGAGCUCGUAGGCGGUUCGUCGCGUCUGCUGUGGAAACGCAAGGCUCAACCUUGCGCGUGCAGUGGGUACGGGCGGACUAGAGUGCAGUAGGGGAGUCUGGAAUUCCUGGUGUAGCGGUGAAAUGCGCAGAUAUCAGGAGGAACACCGGUGGCGAAGGCGGGACUCUGGGCUG
RNAcentral lists this ribosomal RNA (662 nucleotides) under uncultured bacterium. RNAcentral's name for it is "bacterial SSU rRNA". It matches the Rfam family "Bacterial small subunit ribosomal RNA", at positions 65 to 736 of the family's 1533-position model. The record is from RNAcentral.